UGGGGAAUAUUGCACAAUGGGCGCAAGCCUGAUGCAGCGACGCCGCGUGGGGGAUGACGGCCUUCGGGUUGUAAACUCCUUUCGCCAGGGACGAAGCGUUUUGUGACGGUACCUGGAGAAGAAGCACCGGCUAACUACGUGCCAGCAGCCGCGGUAAUACGUAGGGUGCAAGCGUUGUCCGGAAUUACUGGGCGUAAAGAGCUCGUAGGUGGUUUGUCACGUCGUCUGUGAAAUUCCACAGCUUAACUGUGGGCGUGCAGGCGAUGCGGGCUGACUUGAGUACUGUAGGGGUAACUGGAAUUCCUGGUGUAGCGGUGAAAUGCGCAGAUAUCAGGAGGAACACCGAUGGCGAAGGCAGGUUACUGAGCAGUUACUGACGCUGAGGAGCGAAAGCAUGGGUAGCAAACAGGAUUAGAUACCCUGGUAGUCCAUGCCGUAAACGGUGGGCGCUAGGUGUAGGGGCCUUUUGGGGUUUCUGUGCCGUAGCUAACGCAUUAAGCGCCCCGCCUGGGGAGUACGGCCGCAAGGCUA
RNAcentral lists this ribosomal RNA (531 nucleotides) under uncultured bacterium. RNAcentral's name for it is "bacterial SSU rRNA". It matches the Rfam family "Bacterial small subunit ribosomal RNA", at positions 355 to 896 of the family's 1533-position model. The record is from RNAcentral.